RNAcentral lists this transfer RNA (73 nucleotides) under Sphaerodactylus townsendi. RNAcentral describes it as "tRNA-Pro". It matches the Rfam family "tRNA". Rfam says of the family: Transfer RNA (tRNA) molecules are approximately 80 nucleotides in length. Their secondary structure includes four short double-helical elements and three loops (D, anti-codon, and T loops). The record is from RNAcentral. Lineage: Eukaryota; Metazoa; Chordata; Lepidosauria; Squamata; Sphaerodactylidae.
GGUGUCGUGGCUCAGUGGUAGAGCUUUUUGCUUGGGAUGCAAAAGGUUUCAGGUUCAAUCCCUGACCUCUCCA